CCGAAGGUUCCUGUAUGGAACUAACAAGUUAUCUGUACCCAGCCGGAGGUUCCUUAAUGACAAGUUAUCCGUAUUCGGUCUCGAGGUUCCUUGAUGGAACUGACAAGCUAUUUGUACUCGGCUGGAGGUUCCUUUAUGGAACUGACAAGUAUGAUCUUCGAUGCUCCGUAUGUGAUCUGUUAGCGCUAACGAAUGUGAGCAGACGCGUGACCAGGCCUAAGCUGCUGCCCGGCGAGUUUUGGGUCAGCCAAUCACCAUGCCUCUCGAGGAGGUUCCUUUUUGAGAAGUCAAGUUUUGUGGUCCUGUUGAAGAUGUUCUUUUGUUUUUGUUUGGUUUGUCUACUUGUACAUUAGGUGAAGUCCCUUAUGAUGCUAUGUGUAUGGAAGUUUGACAUCAUAUAAGUUUCAAAUAUUGUCUGUUUCAUGCA
Molecule: non-coding RNA, 427 nt
Organism: Camellia sinensis
Lineage: Eukaryota; Viridiplantae; Streptophyta; Magnoliopsida; Ericales; Theaceae
Source: RefSeq, a predicted model, not a curated record